GGUACAAUAUACCAGGCUCCACAGCUUUGUAGUGUCUUUGCAGCUCGAGUUGUAUGUUUCUUCAUCCUUUCUAUUUACGUUCAUGUGUUGCUUGGAGGGCACAGACUAAGCGAAGCUGCAUUAAAGUUGGGGACGAUUAGGCAGGUUGAUGCUAAAAACCAGAACAAGCAUUCUGAGACAAAGCCCCCAAUGGUACACAAUCUUUCACACCACUUCUCUUCCGAUUCCUCAAAGAUGAUGUUUUUGUAGAAAUCAGGAGCAACACACCUUAUAUAAGAAAAAAAAGAAUUGAACAGUAUCUAUGUCGAAGAAGUCAAGAGUUCUUUGAGCAACGCGUUCUUUCAGGCUGAUAUUGCUUUAGCAGAGGACCGCAACAGAGGCUCUUUUCUCAGGCUUUUCUUCUGGUACCUCGGCUCUUGCUGCCCUUAUUUUUGGAAGCAGAUGGCAGAGCCAUUCUCUGUAGGAAUGGUGAAGCCAUAGACAUGUCUCGAGACCACAAAC
Long non-coding RNA from Brassica napus (rape), 501 nucleotides. RefSeq lists it as uncharacterized. The record is from RefSeq and is a predicted model, not a curated record. NCBI's taxonomy places the organism in Eukaryota, Viridiplantae, Streptophyta, Magnoliopsida, Brassicales, Brassicaceae. The transcript has 5 exons.